Molecule: transfer RNA, 31 nt
Filed under: Bos indicus (zebu cattle)
Lineage: Eukaryota; Metazoa; Chordata; Mammalia; Artiodactyla; Bovidae
Description: partial tRNA-Thr
Source: RNAcentral
AGAGAAGGAGAACAACCAACCUCCCUAAGAC